Molecule: long non-coding RNA, 592 nt
Filed under: Ananas comosus (pineapple)
Lineage: Eukaryota; Viridiplantae; Streptophyta; Magnoliopsida; Poales; Bromeliaceae
Description: long non-coding RNA (ACOM_LNC020561)
Source: RNAcentral
CACUACUAAGAUCAUUAGUGCUAACACUAACUUCUAAAAACUCAAGCUAUUAGAAAGAAACACUACAUCUAUAGCGACACUUUUAAAUGUCGGUACAGAUUAAAAAAAGUGCUACUGGCUAAAUUAUCGAUACUUUUAAAAAGUGUUGCUAUGUGGGGUCGUUAGGUAUAUAGUGACAGUUAAAGAGUGUUGGUAUAAUCUAAAAAGAGUGCUACUGAUUUACUAACAUUUAUUUAAGCAUAAGCAACCGCCAGAACUCUACCUCGUUGGCUGCAGUGGCGGAGGAUGAGGAGAGGGAAGGGCUCUUCGUCUAGGAUUUCAGUGGAUUGAGUGAGGGUAGAAGGGGAGAUAUAUGGUAAUCGAUUUUUCUCUUUUUUCUUUUCUUUUCUGUUUGCAACCGAGCCGAAUGGACUGGGUGGGGUGGGUUGAGUAGAGUAAUCUUUUAUUUUUGGUUGGAUUGGACUUUAUAUUUAGACAUUAGUAGAUUUUUUAAAAAAUUUUGGUAUAAAUGGAACACUUAUACAAAUGUGUCCGAAACAUGUGUCGUUAUAACCUAAUUCUGUUGUAGUGAAAGCAACAAUUUACUUAAAAU